CUCUCUACAUAGCUACAAACAAUGUCUUAAAAUAAAUCUUAUGUCUUAAAACAAGACUUUGCGCACUGCGUCAGAAAAUGUCCGACACUAUGAGUACCAGGGCGCAACGCAGCGGAGAGUUCCGACAGGAGAUAAGGGUAAUAACCGUCUCUCAUCUGAGUAUGGAGGGACAAAACUAGGCUAUACAAGAGUGGGGUAUGCCGGAGUCCACACUCACACACCUCGUCAUCUGCAUCACACCUAGCCAAAAUAUACAUGGCCCAGACCACCAUCUCACCACGUUACUCAGUACUCGUCCCUCUUUCGUUCAUUACCAGUACCAACAAGGCUGGUAUGACGAGGCUACUGCCAUCCGUCUAUAUAGGGACUUCCUCAGAACAAACGACCCUGCCAUCGUUGUCUUGUCCGAGGUUACCACACCUAUGUUCAUUGAGGUGCAGAGGAAUGAGGUUCCUCUCCGUCGAAGAAGUGUGAGGGAGUUGUGGAGACAAAACUCAUAGUGAGAGAAGACAUGGUGAAAAUGCAUAGGUCCGGGAUCCCACCGUUGUUCCUCUUGAGGAAAAUGAAUUUCCCUUCUUAAAACGAUUGGUUUAAACUUUUCACUCAUUUGCUUCAGUUGUGUUUUAUCUUCUACCAUCAUACUUGGAUUUUCUUGUGCUAAGUUAAAGUUGCAGUUACGCUUCA
Camelina sativa (false flax) is the source of this 684-nucleotide long non-coding RNA. RefSeq lists it as uncharacterized. NCBI's taxonomy places the organism in Eukaryota, Viridiplantae, Streptophyta, Magnoliopsida, Brassicales, Brassicaceae. The record is from RefSeq and is a predicted model, not a curated record.